Molecule: long non-coding RNA, 1367 nt
Organism: Rhinopithecus roxellana (golden snub-nosed monkey)
Lineage: Eukaryota; Metazoa; Chordata; Mammalia; Primates; Cercopithecidae
Exons: 3
Source: RefSeq, a predicted model, not a curated record
AGCUACGACCCCUAGAGAAACGAUAGACUGGGAAAGGAAAUGAGGCAAAGGAAAGGAGAGAAAAGGCCAGAAAAACUUUGAGAAUGAGAGAAAGGAGAGAGAAGGUUGAUUGUUUAAUCCCUCACCUCAACUCCAAGAAGGCGGGAACGAAUGCUGCAGAAACAGCUAACCCAUUCGGGGUUGACUUCAUUUUCAAAGCAGCAACCUAAUAUAACUUCCUUUGGAUAGCACUUAAGUUUGUCAUUUCAGAGAGUUGUGUGUGCUUCGAUUUAAAUAUGUAUAUGAGUUCGAAUGACAAAAACGGGAAAAGGCCGGAGUACAGAGAUGUAGAACAAUGGGGCUGUUUCUGGGAACGCUAAACAUUUGAUCGGGGAGCCUUUGUAUUUAUGAUAUCAACUUACCGGUUUUUAAUUAUUCUCUCAUCGUUCAGCAUUCAAUAAAUAAUUAUAGAGCGCCUACUAUGUGCUAAAUCGUGGAAGCUUGGAUUGCAUCAGUGCACGAAACUAAGAUAACUGCCUUACUGCCUUCAUUAACCUUUACGGAAGGGUCUGGGGGAUGCCUCGUGGAUUAACAACUGGGAUUGAUGCUUUUUCUCUUGCUCUCACAGUCUUCCUAACCUCUAUCCUAGACAGCUCUUUUCUCUGUCAAUCCACUCUUCUUUCUCUCCUUUAAAAGCCCAUGCAUGGUUUGUUUAUAGAGAAAAAAACAGAAGUGUUACCUUUGCUUAUAAAUUAUAUCCAUUUAGAUUUUUCUUUAAGAGAGGAGUAUUUGGACUCCAAGCUCUUAACUUGUGGCAGCCAAAUUAAAAUCGGAGAACAAUCUCUGCAGGCUUCUGGGAACUAGUCAGACAGGUAUGUGAGGGAAGAAACCGGAGGGCAGCCAAAGGACUGGGAAAGUAAAGACACGGGGUAUGAGGAGGUGAAAGGGUGUGUUGCCAGGCCGUGGAUGACAGGCAUUGGCAGAGGAUGAAAUGAAAAGAUUCUGACUGGGAGAACCAGUGGUGACAACAAGAAUGGUUCUUCUGAAUGGAGGCUACAGAAUUUCUUUACUCUGCAUAACACUGAAGGCCAUUAGCCUAAACAGGUGAGAAGGAAAAGCAUUUAAUCUGGUGUAUGGAAAUUGAAGCCCUCCUGCAAACUUCUCUAAGGAAGGAUCCUGAUUUGAAAGGCUAUUAAUGUUUGGCAGCAACUACAGCAAAUAGACUAGAAGGGGGCCACAAGCCACGUAAUGUGGGAAGCCUUCAGAAGCCAGAAAAAGCAAGGAAAUGGAUCCUCCCCAGAGCUUCCAGAAAAGAACACAGCCCUGCUGACACCUUGAUUUUCACCCAGUGAGAGGCAUGUCAGACUUCUUUCUUUUUUUUCUUAUUU